Molecule: long non-coding RNA, 1470 nt
Organism: Drosophila novamexicana
Lineage: Eukaryota; Metazoa; Arthropoda; Insecta; Diptera; Drosophilidae
Exons: 3
Source: RefSeq, a predicted model, not a curated record
GUAUGCAUAACACCCUUACAGACUCCCACGGGUCAGCAGCUCCUAAUAGAAAUAUAACAGAGUGUUAAUUUUGUGAGUGACUCAAGCGGACCGGCGCACAGAAAAUCAGCAGGCGAACAAAAUUCGAGCGUAAACUAGAUGCGCCGCAUUGUCAAGCAUACACACGCACACAAACACGUGCAUGCGCAGCCUGAGAUAAGCCGUCAGCUGUGCGUGUGUGUGUUCGCUGUCCAUUUUUCGUCUUGCGCUCACGCGCUCACGACUCUUUCUCGCUGCUGAUCGCUGAUUGGUCCAAUCAAUAGCUGCUGGCAGCGAAGCUCUCGUCUGCUCGCCCGAGUGCUUUGUUUUAUGUGAGCGCCGCUUUUGUGGAUCUGCGCAACUUUAGUCUGAGUCAGUGUGGCUCUAUUAGGCAACAGGGCAUGUUGUUGUUAAGCUGCCAGCGCGUCAGUCUAUUAAGCCCGUUAUUAUUUUGUGAAUGCGAUGCAUAGAAAGAUAAGGCCCUAGCACGCAAAUACACAUACGUACGUGCAUAUUUGGCGAUUCCCUCUGCAUAGAUAUGCAUGUUUGGCCAAAUCUGCCAGGAACAAGAAAACCUUGUUUAUUUCAAACCCUGGAUGUACUCUAAACAAAAUCGUAUUUAAAUUUGGACCAAAUGGAAAAGUUGUUGCCAAUCUGUGCUGAUUAAAUCAACAUUUUAUAGACUUCUGUCGAUUUUAAAGUCUCACGAAUCCUUAAAGCCUAAUCUGCCGACGUUCAUGGAAAAUAUAUAGUCAACAAAUAAUUAUGUCGAUUUUAGAUCGAAGGAACCAGUUUCCGCUCAUUUAUUCCAUCUCCCAAUGUGGUACUGUGCUUUCUGGACGGGUUUUCUGAUCGAUCGCCUCCUGUUCGGUAUUCUUCUGGGCACGAUUAUCUAUGCUCAUCCUGCUGGUGGAUCAGCUAAUCUUUGCCAGCGGCGCCAUUAUCGACACCUUCUGGAUAAUGAUACUCGGCGAGUCGCUGGCCAUCGCCCAGGACAGCUACGCGGUGCUCUGGCUUAAGGGCAAGGAACGUUUUAAAGGACAUGGAGAUCAUUUGAUCAGCAAGUGAUCGCUACUCAUGGUACCUAGUUGACCAAUAUAUAUCCUUGGUUAUUGCAUAUCAUGGAUGUAGUCCUAGCGAACCUAAAGGACCAAGUUCUUGCAAAACAGGGUCCAUAAAUAUGUAUGCUCUUCUUUUACAGCCGCCCGCCGCAACAGUCCCGCUCCGUGAAUGGUUUCUAGUUGACUAGCAUAUCCUUGGUUAUGCCAUACCAUCGAUAUAGUCCUUUGGAACCUACAGGAUCAGAUCACUGCAAAAUGUGCAUUGAAAUGGUCCAAAAAUAUGUAUGCUUUCUCUUUCAGGAGCCCUUUUACAUUAGCUGCGGCUGCAGCUCUUGCUUAACAGCCGGCUUACAGCGCUCAUUUAACAUAAAAUGCUAAUUAACAGCACUCA